Molecule: ribosomal RNA, 482 nt
Filed under: uncultured bacterium
Lineage: Bacteria
Description: partial 16S ribosomal RNA
Rfam family: Bacterial small subunit ribosomal RNA
Source: RNAcentral
AUUGAACGCUGGCGGCAUGCUUUACACAUGCAAGUCGAACGGUAACAGCACUUCGGUGGCUGACGAGUGGCGAACGGGUGAGUAAUACAUCGGAACGUGCCUAGUAGUGGGGGAUAACUACUCGAAAGAGUAGCUAAUACCGCAUGAGAUCUAAGGAUGAAAGCAGGGGACCUUCGGGCCUUGCGCUACUAGAGCGGCUGAUGGCAGAUUAGGUAGUUGGUGGGAUAAAAGCUUACCAAGCCGACGAUCUGUAGCUGGUCUGAGAGGACGACCAGCCACACGGGGACUGAGACACGGCCCAGACUCCUACGGGAGGCAGCAGUGGGGAAUUUUGGACAAUGGGCGCAAGCCUGAUCCAGCAAUGCCGCGUGCAGGAUGAAGGCCUUCGGGUUGUAAACUGCUUUUGUACGGAACGAAAAGCCCUCUUCUAAUACAGGAGGGUCAUGACGGUACCGGAAGAAUAAGCACCGGCUAACUACGUG